This 490-nucleotide ribosomal RNA is filed under the name uncultured bacterium. RNAcentral's name for it is "partial 16S ribosomal RNA". It matches the Rfam family "Bacterial small subunit ribosomal RNA", at positions 30 to 507 of the family's 1533-position model. The record is from RNAcentral.
AUUGAACGCUGGCGGCAGGCCUAACACAUGCAAGUCGAACGGUAACAGGAAGCAGCUUGCUGCUUUGCUGACGAGUGGCGGACGGGUGAGUAAUGUCUGGGAAACUGCCCGAUGGAGGGGGAUAACUACUGGAAACGGUAGCUAAUACCGCAUAACUUCGCAAGACCAAAGAGGGGGACCUUAGGGCCUCUUGCCAUCGGAUGUUCCCCGGUGGGAUUAGCUAGGAGGUGGGGUUACGGCUCACCUAGGCGACGAUUCCUAGAUGGUCUGAGAGGAUGACCAGCCACAUUAGAAGUGGGCCACGGUCCAGGCGCCUGAGGGAGGGAGCAGUGGGGAAUAUUGCACAACGGGCGGAAGCCUGAUGCAGCCAUGCCGCGUGUAUGAAGAAGGCCUUCGGGUUGUAAAGUACUUUCAGCGGGGAGGAAGGGAGUAAAGUUAAUACCUUGGCUCAUUGACGUUACCCGCAGAAGAAGCACCGGCUAACUCCGUG